This 748-nucleotide ribosomal RNA is filed under the name Bacillus subtilis. RNAcentral's name for it is "bacterial SSU rRNA". It matches the Rfam family "Bacterial small subunit ribosomal RNA", at positions 34 to 762 of the family's 1533-position model. Lineage: Bacteria; Bacillati; Bacillota; Bacilli; Caryophanales; Bacillaceae. The record is from RNAcentral.
CGCUGGCGGCGUGCCUAAUACAUGCAAGUCGAGCGGACAGAUGGGAGCUUGCUCCCUGAUGUUAGCGGCGGACGGGUGAGUAACACGUGGGUAACCUGCCUGUAAGACUGGGAUAACUCCGGGCCCCCAGGGCUAAUACCGGAUGGUUGUUUGAACCGCAUGGUUCAAACAUAAAAGGUGGCUUCGGCUACCACUUACAGAUGGACCCGCGAGCGCAUUAGCUAGUUGGUGAGGUAACGGCUCACCAUUGGCGACGAUGCGUAGCCGACCUGAGAGGGUGAUCGGCCACACUGGGACUGAGACACGGCCCAGACUCCUACGGGAGGCAGCAGUAGGGAAUCAACCGCAAUGGACGAAAGUCUGACGGAGCAACGCCGCGUGAGUGAUGAAGGUCCUCGGAUCGUAAAGCUCUGUUGUUAGGGAUGAACAAGUACCGUCCGAAUAGGGCGAUACCUUGACGGUACCUAACCAGAAAGCCACGGCUAACUACGUGCCAGCAGCCGCGGUAAUACGUAGGUGGCAAGCGUUGUCCGGAAUUAUUGGGCGUAAAGGGCUCGCAGGCAAUUUCUUAAGUCUGAUGUGAAAGUUCCCGGCUCAACCGGGGAGGGUCAUUGGAAACUGGGGAACUUGAGUGCAGAAGAGGAGAGUGGAAUUCCACGUGUAGCGGUGAAAUGCGUAGAGAUGUGGAGGAACACCAGUGGCGAAGGCGACUCUCUGGUCUGUAACUGACGCUGAGGAGCGAAAGCGU